AAGGAAAGAGGGUGACUAUUAUUUACUUUUUCAUUAUUUUUUAUCUUAAAAAGGUGCUCUAAGUGAUCUCACGUGCUUUUUAGGCCAAAACAUUUUUUGUCACAUACAGCAAACAUCUCCUCACUAUCCACUAGCUGCCUGUGCCCUGAACACACUGUAAAAAACGCUGUCUCUGGAGACACCCCAGGCUCCACAAACGGCAACAAAAACAAACUGGUCUUACCCGCACUGCCGCACCAUGAAAUAUAACAAACAGUGUUCCAGCUAAUAACCAACAAGAAAGAUUUGGGGGUGGGGUUUGGGGGGUUAGUGCGCGGAUGAGGAGGAGGGAGGGUCUAGCUAGCCUCCAUUUUGUUUGACAAAAGUUUUUAAUGUCAACAAGAAGUGACGUCACCCAGGAUCACGUUGAGAACCUUUAAGUUGAGGUUAGGUAAGUUGUUUUUGGGACGUGUUGGGAUGGCAUCUUUCCCAAACGGGGGAGAGUCACUGCCACCUGUGUGUCUGCAUAAUGGAGUCAAGUGUGUCCCUGCGUAAUGGAGUCAAGUGUAUGCCUGCGUAAUGGAGUCAGGUGUGUCCCUGCGUAAUGGAGUCAGGUGUGUCCCUGCGUAAUUGAGUCAGAUGUGUCCCUGCGUAAUGGAGUCAGGUGUGUCCCUGCGUAAUGGAGUCAGGUGUGUCCCUGCGUAAUGGAGUCAGGUGUGUCCCUGCGUAAUGGAGUCAGGUGUGUCCCUGCGUAAUGGAGUGAAGUGUGUCUCUGCGUAAUGGAGUCAGGUGUGUCCCUGCGUAAUGGAGUCAGGUGUGUCCCUGCGUAAUGUAGUCAGGUGUGUCCCUGCGUAAUGGAGUCAGGUGUGUCCCUCCGUAAUGGAGUCAGGUGUGUCCCUGCGUAAUGGAGUCAGAUGUGUUCCUGCGUAAUGGAGUCAAUUGUGUCUCUGCGUAAUGGAGUCAGGUGUGUCCCUGCGUAAUGGAGUCAGGGGUGUCCCUGCGUAGGGCUGGGUAUUGUUCAAAAUCUUUCGAUCCGGUGCCAAUUUCGAUACCUCAGUUUCGAUACCGGUUCCUAACGAUACUUUUUUCGAUACCAUAUGUUUUGAAAUCCAUUUCAACAUCAGCACAAAUACAUUAAACACAAAACUUUUAUUUUUCACCUUAAAUAAAACAAAUUCUGGUAACACUUCACACUCAGGAUAACAUUAUUAAUACAACUGGUUGUGCUUUUUGGAUAGGGGUGUGCUAUUCAGCGGCGGACUGGGACCAAAAAGUUGCCCAGGCUUUCUGGCCCACAGCAGCCCACCACAUCAUAACGCAAACGGCCCUGUUUUUAUGUAAUUUAUUAAUUUUAUAUUUAAGUAAACAGUUUGGGGAUUUUAACCAAUAGGACAACUGAUCCUCCAUUGAAAAAAAAGAACAACAGCUGUUCAUUUAGCGACUCCAAGUGAGCGAUACUCAUCAAGACACAAACAUUCUUCUAGAACUCACUCUUUGCAUUCAGUUAGCAGAUCCAUGCAAAUCAUGCAUGAAAUAGACUCAAACAAUAGCUUUAUGUGCUUUACAGAUGAACUUGAAGUCUUUAUUCAUUCGAGAUGUUCAAUAAUAGCUCAUCUUUGACUCGGUAAUACAAGUUCAUGAUCAGAUUAGUGAACCCAUGGUUCUUUUGAGUCAAUGUUUCAAAAUAAUAAUUUAUUUUGUUUAACGAAACCAGUGUUUCACAAAUAGAUCUGAGGUGCAGGGCUCGCAAAAUCCUUAGCCCCACCUCCUGGGACUAUUGUGUUUUCCAGUCCGAUGGGCUAUCGUGAAGUGAUGUAAAAUUCCUUAACUUCACUUGCUUCGUGUUGUUCACUCGCUUGAAGGGGUGAAACGGAUCAUAGCCGAUCGUUUGCAUUUGUUUCUAAAUAUUGCUGAUUCAAGCGUUUUAAACAAUUCACGUGCGUUCAGAGCUUGCGCUCACUCAUUCAAAGCACGCGCUGUGAGCAGCAUUUCAGACAAUGCGCGUAGAGAGAAUGAAUUCAUCUUUUGAGUAUCGAAAUUUGCUGUACCGGAUAAAUCUGUCUCUCUCUCUCUGUUUUUUAGACGACGUGAAAGGGGGCGUUUCAAGAUACGCAAUAGAGUAGACCAAACUAAACAGGGAGGGAGGGCAAAACACUCAUCCAAACAAAUGCAUCAUUAACACCGGAUUUGGUUGCAAUACUAUUAUUGCAUAUGUUGCACAUUGCUGACUCGGCAUGACUUUAAUAAAGUGUAGCCGGAAACGUUUUGAGAAAAAACAACUACAGUUGUGUUGUGUGACUGCGAGUUUUUUCAGAGAUCCUCCCCGUCCCGUCACGUGGUGGUGGACAGCCAAUCACGGCGAAUUUGGGUCCUUACAUGCACGUAUGCUACAAGCUCACACAGACACAGCCGCUUGGCAAAAAAAAAAAAAAAGAAAAGAAAAACGGCCGCUUGGCUUUUGGAACCGAAAUUUGGCACCGAAAGAUAAAUAAUUUUUCGAUAUUCAUAGUAUCGAAGUUUUUCGUUCGAUACCAUAAAGGCAUCGAAGUUCGGUACCCAGCCCUAUCCCUGCGUAAUGGAGUCAGGGGUGUCCCUGCGUAAUGGAGUCAAGUGUGUCCCUGCGUAAUGGAGUCAGAUGUGUUCCUGCGUAAUGGAGUCAGAUGUGUUCCUGCGUAAUGGAGUCAGGUGUGUUCCUGCAUAAUGGAGUCAGGUGUGUCCCUGCGUAAUGGAGUCAGGUGUGUUCCUGCAUAAUGGAGUCAGAUGUGUUCCUGUGUAAUGUAAAACAUCCACGUUUGUAUCGCCUGUAGGCUACUACAGGGUUCAUUUGCAAAACAUAAAUAUAAGAAACUUAUCCAAGAUUAUUAUGAAGAUGAUUAGCCUAAUAUUACUUAAAUUAUGAUUGCAAAUGCCUUUAUUUUAAUGUAUUUCUAUCCGCCGGGACGAUAUUAUUGACGUCAUUACGUGAUGACGUAAAAGAACUGGUGAACCGUUUUUUUGAACAGGUUCAUUGAAACGAACUGUACGAAAGAACUGGUUCGCGGAAAAGAACCGAACUUCCCAUCACUAAUGCCUGCGUAAUUGAGUCAGGUGUGUCCCUGCGUAAUGGAGUCAGAUGUGUUCCUGCGUAAUGGAGUCAGGUGUGUCUCUGCGUAAUGGAGUCAAGUGUAUGCCUGCGUAAUGGAGCCAAGUGUGUCCUUGCGUAAUGGAGUCAGGUGUGUGGAAGUUCCCUGCGUAAUGGAGUCAGGUGUGUCCCUGCGUAAUGGAGUCAGGUGUGUCCCUGCGUAAUGGUGUCAGGGGUGUCCCUGCGUAAUGGAGUCAGGUGUGUCCCUGCGUAAUGGUGUCAGGGGUGUCCCUGCGUAAUGGAGUCAGUGGUGUCCCUGCGUAAUGGAGUCAGUGGUGUCCCUGCGUAAUGGAGUCAGUGGUGUCCCUGCGUAAUGGAGUCAGGGGUGUCCCUGCGUAAUGGAGUCAGGUGUGUCCCUGCGUAAUGGAGUCAGGUGUGUCCCUGCGUAAUGGUGUCAGGGGUGUCCCUGCAUAAUGGAGUCAGGUGUGUCCCUGCGUAAUGGUGUCAGGGGUGUCCCUGCGUAAUGGAGUCAGUGGUGUCCCUGUGUAAUGGAGUCAGUGGUGUCCCUGCGUAAUGGAGUCAGGUGUGUCCCUGCGUAAUGGAGUCAGGUGUGUCCCUGCGUAAUGGAGUCAGGUGUGUUCCUGCGUAAUGGAGUCAGGGGUGUCCCUGCGUAAUGGAGUCAGGUGUGUCCCUGCGUUCCUGCGUAAUGGAGUCAGGUGUGUCUCUACGUAAUGGAGUCAGGGGUGUCCCUGCGUAAUGGAGUCAGGUGUGUCCCUGCGUAAUGGAGUCAGGGGUGUCCCUGCGUAAUGGAGUCAGGGGUGUCCCUGCGUAAUGGAGUCAGGUGUGUUCCUGCGUAAUGGAGUCAGGUGUGUCCCUGCGUUCCUGCGUAAUGGAGUCAGGUGUGUCCCUGCGUAAUGGAGUCAAGUGUGUCCUUGCGUAAUGGAGUCAGGUGUGUGGAGUGUCCCUGCGUAAUGGAGUCAAGUGUGUCCCUGCGUAAUGGAGUCAGAUGUGUUCCUGCGUAAUGGAGUCAGGUGUGUCCCUGCGUAAUGGAGUCAGGUGUGUUCCUGCGUAAUGGAGUCAGGGGUGUCCCUGCGUAAUGGAGUCAGAUGUGUCCCUGCGUAAUGGAGUCAGGUGUGUCCCUGCGUAAUGGAGUCAGGUGUGUCCCUGCGUAAUGGAGUCAGGUGUGUCCCUGCGUAAUGGAGUCAGGUGUGUCCCUGCGUAAUGGAGUCAGGUGUGUCCCUGCGUAAUGGAGUCAGGUGUGUCCCUGCGUAAUGGAGUCAGGGGUGUCCCUGUGUAAUGGAGUCAGGUGUGUACCUGUGUAAUGGAGUCAGGUGUGUACCUGCGUAAUGGAGUCAGGUGUGUACCUGCGUAAUGGAGUCAGGUGUGUCCCUGCGUAAUGGAGUCAGGUGUGUACCUGCGUAAUGGAGUCAGGUGUGUACCUGCGUAAUGGAGUCAGGUGUGUCCCUGCGUAAUGGAGUCAGGGGUGUCCCUGUGUAAUGGAGUCAGGUGUGUACCUGUGUAAUGGAGUCAGGUGUGUCCCUGCGUAAUGGAGUCAGGUGUGUACCUGCGUAAUGGAGUCAGGUGUGUCCCUGCGUAAUGGAGUCAGGGGUGUCCCUGUGUAAUGGAGUCAGGGGUGUCCCUGCGUAAUGGAGUCAAGUGUGUUCCUGCGUAAUGGAGUCAGGUGUGUCUCUGUGUAUUAGAGUCAAUUGUGUCUCUGCGUAAUGGAGUCAAGUGUGUCUAGGGAUGGGUACCGAAACCCGGUAUUAAACGGGCCCCGGGGCUGAAUUUUGAAAGACCGCUGUAUCAAUAAGCUCGGACGUUAACGGUUCUGCUGUCGGUACUGGAGAAAUUAAAAAAAUACACAUACUAUUUAUUAUUGCUAUAAAGACCUUAUUUUAUUUUGUAUUUAUUUUUUAUCUCGCCAGCCAUUUCUAUGUAUAAUAAUAUUAAAUCAUUUGUCUGUAAUGCAUUUUUGGUAUUGCGGCCCGAGAGAGAGAGACAAGCCACAGCGCGCUGCGCGCACAACACGACAGCACUGUAAUGAGCGACGUGUGGUUACACUUUAGAUCUGUGAUAUUAGUCUGAUUUUAUUUUAGAUUUCAGCUUCCAAAGAUUCUAAAAAUUAUAUAUUGAGGUAAAACCAUUAAAAACUAUAAGCCACAUUCUGUCUAGCGCAACUUCCUUCCCUUCACAGCAGUAGCCUAUUUCAUUAAUCCCUAAAACUCAAACUUAACGACAGAAUCAGCACGUUCGGUGAGUGUUGUAAAAUGCAGUUGCUAAAUUGCGGGAUGGUUUAAUAAUAAAAAGAGCUAUAAAAAGCACACAGAUCUGUGCAAGAGAUGUAAUUCACAAGGCGGCACGCGCUCCUAAACAGACCGCAACGAGACAAGCAACUUUGGGUUUCAUGUGUGCGUCUAAAUCAAAUGUACACAAAAAAUAUGUCAAAAUGACCGGCUUGGAGAUCAACUCAAACACCUUUUAUGUCUUAAAUGGACGUAGUUAUGGAAAUGUUUGGGAGAAAAUAUGGUGCAGCAUCAGUUUCAGAUCAGCACUCGGUCUUAAAGGGGCCGCAGUCUAAUAAACAUGACAAAAUAACUGCAAAUCAAACAACAAAUGGCAAAGAGAAAAUCACUCACAGGUCUUGAAUAAAUAACUUCAGCUUUAAUAAACAUUAAUCCACCUAUGAUAAACUAUGCAGUGUUAUUUUACAUUUGAUUACUUUAUUAGAUUUAUUUUAAGACCAUACCUGAACAGUAAUGUUAGUAGACCUUACAAAGCACUGUGUAGGCCUAUAUAAUGUGUAUCUUUGUUUAAUAGUUCAUCUUUUGUUUAUCUAUUGUUUAUCUUUGUAAAAAAAUAUAUAUAUAUACAGUAUUGUUCAAAAUAUUAGCAGUACAAUGUGACU
This is a long non-coding RNA of Carassius gibelio (silver crucian carp), 5945 nucleotides long. RefSeq lists it as uncharacterized. The transcript is spliced from 3 exons. Lineage: Eukaryota; Metazoa; Chordata; Actinopteri; Cypriniformes; Cyprinidae. The record is from RefSeq and is a predicted model, not a curated record.